RNAcentral lists this long non-coding RNA (1078 nucleotides) under Lynx pardinus (Iberian lynx). Lineage: Eukaryota; Metazoa; Chordata; Mammalia; Carnivora; Felidae. The record is from RNAcentral.
ACACAGGGCUUGACUCUUUAAGGCAACUUCAAUGAAAAAGGAAGUCUUGGCUGCUUGUGAGAACAAUUGCCACUCCCAGAAUCAAAAACGACUAGAACACAGACUUAAAAACCAAGUUAUUUAAUUGUGUCUUCAAAGGUAAACAAUAUUCGGGGCUGGAUCCCAAGCCCUGAGAAUGCCAGAGCUGAGGGUACAGAGUUCAGAGGGUCAGGACUCAGGGUGUUCUAAGGCAGAGCACUUCUGGAAUUCAUGCAUUCCGUUUUGCAAUUUUGCAAACUGCCAGAAACAGACCCCAAGAGUCUUUUAAGAUGGGGAAAAUUCAACUUCCACUUUUAUAGGUAAGAGUGAAGAGUACCAAUAAUGUUCCGUUUACCUCUCCUCACUUUUCUCACAUGACCGGAAGCCUGAGCUAGUGUGUCCCACACACACGGCAGCCUAAGCUGCAGUUCAGGUGUGAGCUCAGUGCCUCUGUGCACUCCCUUCCACGCUGCAGCAAGAGUGACCCAGGGCAGAGAGCUCUCAGCAGUACAGCUUUUAACAAGCACGUAAAGUAAAAAGAACCCUCUAGUGGCACAGUGAGUUAGUUUAUAAGAUUUUAAUUUACAAAUUAAAAAGCUACAUGUUUUAUUUUUUCUCCUUUUUCUCUUCUUUCUUUCCAUCACUCUUUUCCUUCUCUUUUUCUUUCUCUUUGUCAUCUUUCCUAUCCUUUUUGCUUUCUUCUUUUUCCUGCCCCUCUUUCUUCUCUGCAUCCCGGUUGGCAAUUUUGUUGUUGAUGAGGUUGUGCAGGGCAACCACAGAACGGAUCAACGAGGCCAAAUACACCACUACCAUCUGGUCGUUGGUCUUCAGGUAAAAGGCCUUGACAAACUCCUGGAGGCUGACAUCCGGCAGCAGGUUGAAGACGUCCUGUAGCUGGUAGAUGAUCUGGUGGUUGAUGGGCAGCUUGCCCGUGGCCACUUUCUCCAGGUAGCUCCUGAUAUCCAGAAGCUUGGAGUUCAGUCCCUUCAAACCAUGGACCUGGUUUGUGAUCCGCUGGGAAAGAGUGCCCACUGUAGUGUCUUUGAUGUCUCUGUAACAA